RNAcentral lists this ribosomal RNA (241 nucleotides) under uncultured bacterium. Its description in RNAcentral is "partial 16S ribosomal RNA". It matches the Rfam family "Bacterial small subunit ribosomal RNA", at positions 524 to 762 of the family's 1533-position model. The record is from RNAcentral.
UACAGAGGGUGCAAGCGUUGUUCGAGAUCAUUGGGCGUAAAGCGCAUGUAGGCGGCGCGACAAGUCUGAUGUGAAAUUCCUCGGCUCAACCGGGGAGGGUCAUUGGAUACUGUCGUGCUCGAGUGCCGGAGGGGUGAGUAGAAUUCCUGGUGUAGUGGUGAAUACGUUGUAUAUCAGGAGGAAUACCAGAGGCGAAGGCGGUCGACCUGGACGGUCGACUGACGCUGAGAUGCGAAGGUAU